CCUACGGGAGGCAGCAGUGAGGAAUAUUGGUCAAUGGGCGCGAGCCUGAACCAGCCAAGUAGCGUGAAGGAUGACUGCCCUACGGGUUGUAAACUUCUUUUAUAAAGGAAUAAAGUGCGGCACGUGUGCCUUUUUGUAUGUACUUUAUGAAUAAGGAUCGGCUAACUCCGUGCAAGCAGCCGCGGUAAUCCGGAGGAUCCGAGCGUUAUCCGGAUUUAUUGGGUUUAAAGGGAGCGGAGGCUGGGUGUGAAGUCAGCGGUGAAAUGCCCCGGAGCAACGGGGGGAAGUGCCAUUGAUACUGCCGGGCUGGAAUGCGAAGGCCGUGGGAGGAAUGUGUGGUGUAGCGGUGAAAUGCAUAGAUAUCACACAGAACACCGAUUGCGAAGGCAGCUCACGAAUCCGCGAUUGACGCUGAUGCACGAAAGCGUGGGUAUCAAACAGGAUUAGAUACCCCAGUAGUC
RNAcentral lists this ribosomal RNA (461 nucleotides) under uncultured bacterium. RNAcentral describes it as "partial 16S ribosomal RNA". It matches the Rfam family "Bacterial small subunit ribosomal RNA", at positions 338 to 795 of the family's 1533-position model. The record is from RNAcentral.